CAGCGUGGUAAGUGUUCGUCAUUUUAUUAAACUGAACUGAACACUACAAUACAAAGUAAACAAAAAGAACAACCGAAACAGUUCCGUCUGGUAACUAAAACAAAGACAGAAAACAACUACCCACAACCCAUAGUGGGAAAACAGGAUGCCUAAGUAUGGUUCUCAAUCAGCGACAACGAUAAACAGCUGCCUCUGAUUGGAAACCAUACCAGGCCAAACACAGAAAUACAUAGAACAACACAUAGAAUGCCCACGCCUACUCACGCCCUGACCAAACUAAAAUAGAGAAAUAAAAAAGGAACUAAGGUCAGGACGUGACACACUGGUUAAUUUCGUGGGAGUGCGCCUACACCCGGCAUCUUUGAAUUUGGACCUGGUUCCCGCCACUCACACUUGUUUCAUAUCUCAUACCUUUCCCCGAGAACCUAAUCGAGUAAGUGUUUGUCAGUGUUUGUGAGAUUUUGAUUCCGCCAGUAUUGCUUAGAUGCUAUAGUGAUGCUGAGGAUGUGUGAUCCAAGGUGUGAAGUUUGCCAUAGAUGGUGUUGGAGCAAGUUUUAUGGAUGAAGACAAAACAGUAAAAAAGUGGAUUGGUCCUUCGAGCCGAAUGUACUAACUUUGUAUUUCAUAUUUUAGCAGAGGAACAAAAGUAAAGAUGUAGAAGCACUGACUUACAAUAAUCACUGUUCCAAUUAAUCUAAACUCUAUUACAUUCUGACACAACUUUUUGAGUGCACUUAAAUAAUGUAAUGAUUGUAGCAGUCUUUGAGUUGCUUGCUUACAGCUGAGGGCAAUAAGAUCUCAUCAACUCACUGCAUUAUUAGACGUUUGUCCAACAUGCCUAUAACGUCAGAUUUGGACUUUGACAGAGAUAUGGAAUUAUAACUUGAGUGAUUUAUCUUGUCAAAAUCCUGACUUUAGCCGUCAUAUAACCAAACCAACCAAAAACAAAAAUAGCCGCUUUUCACAUGGGGCUUGAACUAGCGAUGUUCAGGUUACACCACCUUCCAAAACAAAUCUAGCCAAAAACAAUGAAUAUAGGGACAAAAUAACACCAAAUUCCUGUACAUGCAAAUGUGUUUGGUAAAUACAAAACAAAAAAAAUCUAUUACCAGCCCAGGCGUUUAUUUGCUUAAAUCACUGAACACAACAGGCGUAGAGACAGCCUUCCAUUUGAGCCAGGUGUCUACUUCCUUAAUGCACAAAGCUUUUUGGUCACGUAUACUCCCUCUCCGGCCUCUAGGUCAUCAGGCUGCUGAUUAUCCCGCACACCUGUCACCAUCGUCAAGCGCACCAGCGCCUCAUGACACUCACCUGGACUCCAUCACCUCCUUGAUUAUCUUCCCUAUAUCUGUCACUCCCCUUGGUUCUUUCCUCAGGUGUAAUUGCGUUGUUUGUGUUUCAUGUUUAUUGGUUUGUUUAUUUAUUAAAACACUCACUCCCUGUACUUGCUUCCUGACUCUCAGCGCACUCGUUACACAAUUGUUAAUUGUUUAAUUCCAACAUCCACUUCCAGCAUUUUAGUCAAUUUAUUAAUUUCCUGCACCAUGUGUAAUAAUUUUCACACUGUCACUUUAUAAAAACAUUUAAAAACUUUUCCUUGACAGAAUAAUUAUUAUCCUCUUUUGACUGUGCCCUUUUAACCCGUUCUUACUAUAGGACGAUAUUACAGUUUUUAGGGGUCGGUACUCCUGAACUUGUUGACUGUUUUUGUACUUGCCGGUUAGCUAGCAGUUGUUAGCUGCUAAUGGCUAGCAGUUUCUUACUGGCGAUACAAACGCAUGAUUGACAUAAUUUAUUGAGUCAUUACUGAAUUAUUUAAUGUAACAAAUCAAACAUUAAACCUCAAACAAUUCAUGGUACCCUUGUAAACAAUUCAUUUAGACCAGGCGUUUAUUUUUACCUGAAAUGUGUGACAUUGUCCGGCUAUUAAAAGGGACAGGCGGCUAUUUGAGACUACGCGUUUUUGAAGUUUUAAGGUAAAGCUGAUUCUGAGAUUACUAAACACUUGUGAUGUUCUGUCUUAUUAGUAAUCACUUUUUGUCCCUUCUGAGGUGUUUGCUAGCGGCAGUACAUCCAGGCCCCUCUCAUCACAGAUACUAGUCAUGAAGGAGUCUGACUUAAAGAUCCAACCCAGCUCC
This is a long non-coding RNA of Oncorhynchus tshawytscha (Chinook salmon), 2138 nucleotides long. NCBI's taxonomy places the organism in Eukaryota, Metazoa, Chordata, Actinopteri, Salmoniformes, Salmonidae. The record is from Ensembl.